RNAcentral lists this ribosomal RNA (492 nucleotides) under uncultured bacterium. RNAcentral's name for it is "partial 16S ribosomal RNA". It matches the Rfam family "Bacterial small subunit ribosomal RNA", at positions 29 to 507 of the family's 1533-position model. The record is from RNAcentral.
AGUGAACGCUGGCGGUAGGCCUAACACAUGCAAGUCGAACGGCAGCACAGUAAGAGCUUGCUCUUACGGGUGGCGAGUGGCGGACGGGUGAGGAAUACAUCGGAAUCUACUUUUUCGUGGGGGAUAACGUAGGGAAACUUACGCUAAUACCGCAUACGACCUACGGGUGAAAGCAGGGGAUCUUCGGACCUUGCGCGAUUGAAUGAGCCGAUGUCGGAUUAGCUAGUUGGCGGGGUAAAGGCCCACCAAGGCGACGAUCCGUAGCUGGUCUGAGAGGAUGAUCAGCCACACUGGAACUGAGACACGGUCCAGACUCCUACGGGAGGCAGCAGUGGGGAAUAUUGGACAAUGGGCGCAAGCCUGAUCCAGCCAUACCGCGUGGGUGAAGAAGGCCUUCGGGUUGUAAAGCCCUUUUGUUGGGAAAGAAAAGCAGCAGGUUAAUACCCCGCUGUCCUGACGGUACCCAAAGAAUGAGCACCGGCUGACUUCGUG